GCGCCGAAUCGCUACACAGAGUCCAGAGAGGUUUCUGGAAGCUUCCACUCUUUUCCGGAAAUGCACAGGCUUAUAUAGGAGACAUCUGAUGAUCCACCACUGACUAUCACUCUCUCGUGAAGGAAGAAAAGAUUUUUAGGAAGAUCCAAGCAGUUUCCUCAGAGGUUCUACUGACCAACACUGAGCCCACAUCACCUCUAAAAACAAAGGAAGCUGGGAAAGGAGGAGAAGGUGUGCUUCGAGACAAGCAACAAACUCAGGAGUGGAGAUCUUUCUGAGCGGCUGUCAUGGCUCAUGAUCUGCCUGGCACAGGAGAUGAUUGUCCCACCUGUCCGGAUGAACGAGCAAAUGUUUCUAGACUCGCUCAGCUUCCUCAGCUCUCAGGCUGUCCACAGGCUCUGCCCCAGACCUGCAGCAGGAGGCUCCAUUAACUUGCUUGCAGGAGACAAAUUAUGACCGUUCAGUGUUUCAGAACGUCUGCUUUUCCAGGUAUGGCGGUGAGAAGCGGGAUCAAGUGAAAAAUGAGAAAACAGCGCAUUCUUCA
Long non-coding RNA from Fukomys damarensis (Damara mole-rat), 544 nucleotides. RefSeq lists it as uncharacterized. Lineage: Eukaryota; Metazoa; Chordata; Mammalia; Rodentia; Bathyergidae. The transcript is spliced from 4 exons. The record is from RefSeq and is a predicted model, not a curated record.